RNAcentral lists this ribosomal RNA (467 nucleotides) under uncultured bacterium. RNAcentral describes it as "partial 16S ribosomal RNA". It matches the Rfam family "Bacterial small subunit ribosomal RNA", at positions 28 to 507 of the family's 1533-position model. The record is from RNAcentral.
GAUGAACGCUGGCGGCGCGCCUAACACAUGCAAGUCGAACGAUUAAAGCACCUUCGGGUGUGUAUAAAGUGGCGAACGGCUGAGUAACACGUGGGCAACCUGCCCCUUUCAUUGGGAUAGCCACGGGAAACCGUGGAUAAUACCGAAUACUUCGAGACUUCCGCAUGGAAGACUCGAGAAAGCUCCGGCGGAGAGGGAUGGGCCCGCGGCCUGUUAGCUUGUUGGUGGGGUAACGGCCUACCAAGGCAAUGAUGGGUAGCUGGGUUGAGAGACCGACCAGCCAGAUUGGGACUGAGACACGGCCCAGACUCCUACGGGAGGCAGCAGUGGGGAAUCUUGCACAAGGGGCGAAAGCCUGAUGCAGCGACGCCGCGUGCGGGAUGAAGGCCUUCGGGUUGUAAACCGCUUUCAGCAGGGACGAGGCGAAAGUGACGGUACCUGCAGAAGAAGCCCCGGCUAACUACGUG